Molecule: long non-coding RNA, 221 nt
Filed under: Capsicum annuum
Lineage: Eukaryota; Viridiplantae; Streptophyta; Magnoliopsida; Solanales; Solanaceae
Description: long non-coding RNA (CANN_LNC017215)
Source: RNAcentral
UACUCUCCUAAGAUCACAUUUCUUGACUCUUGCUACAUUUUUUAUGUACCCGCUUCUUCAAAAAUUAUUUAUUUUAAUUAUAUUUCUAUUAUCUAAAUGAUUUAAAAUGAUAAUCUUUGUUCAAUAUAUGUAUAUAUUCUUAUUUUAAUCUCCGCAAAAAUAUAAAAGAAAGUUAAAUGUAAACAAUCACAAUAUUGAAGUAUGUGUAUAUGCUCUCUCCA